This 428-nucleotide ribosomal RNA is filed under the name uncultured bacterium. RNAcentral's name for it is "partial 16S ribosomal RNA". It matches the Rfam family "Bacterial small subunit ribosomal RNA", at positions 354 to 796 of the family's 1533-position model. The record is from RNAcentral.
GUGGGGAAUAUUGGGCAAUGGGCGAAAGCCUGACCCAGCAACGCCGCGUGAAGGAAGAAGGUCUUCGGAUUGUAAACUUCUGUCAUUGGGGACGAAGGAAGUGACGGUACCCGAUGAGGAAGCCCCGGCUAACUACGUGCCAGCAGCCGCGGUAAUACGUAGGGGGCGAGCGUUGUCCGGAAUUACUGGGCGUAAAGGGUGCGUAGGCGGCGAUGCAAGUCCAUUGUGAAAAGCCCGGGCUUAACCUGGGAGGUGCAGUGGAAACUGUAUGGCUGGAGUGCAGGAGAGGAAAGUGGAAUUCCUAGUGUAGCGGUGAAAUGCGUAGAUAUUAGGAGGAACACCAGUGGCGAAGGCGGCUUUCUGGACUGUAACUGACGCUGAGGCACGAAAGCGUGGGGAGCAAACAGGAUUAGAUACCCGUGUAGUCC